CAUUGGAAUAUGACUGUAGGAUAAACAAAAUAUCAACAUUUUUGUUGUUAUCUUUCUUUUGGUUCUUCAAUUGAUUCUUCUAUCCUCAACUCAAGCUUUAGAAUCAAUAGGAGAUAGCAAGACUCAAAAUUUCACAACCCCACUUCCUGUUAAUUUAUUUCAAUUCAGAGAUGCAUCUAUGGCCAACAAAGAAUCUCCGAGACUCCUUCAAAAUUUCUUACCUCAGAAGGCUCGAAUGGAACAACCGUAGAAUGGAAAUGGAGAAGGACCAACAAUCCUCAACGGAACAGAAGCUUCUGGAAAAUGAUAACCAAGAUAAUAGCAACGGCCAAGCACCCAACCUCCUCAAUUGUGAAGCUGGAUCGGUAACUUCCCUCUUUCACGAGGUGUUGCUGGUUCUCUCUUGCUGCUACUGUUGCUUUUGCUGCGGUGCUUGUUUUGAUGAGAAAUGAGGAGCUACAUGGCUGCGCUUCUGCUCUGUCCUCAUGCUCUUGGUGACAAUUUGUGCAAAGUAGAAUGAUCAAAUUUUGUACAGCUGGUUAUGGAUUUUCUUACAAUUAUUUAGAUAUUAUUAUACAAUUAUUCUGCUGUAUGAGUGUUAAAAGGCCAAAGGGUAUUAAAUAGAUUAAUUAAUGUAGGUUAAGUAGCAUAUAAGUUUUUUUCUUGAAAAGAAGUGGUGGAGGUGAGAUUUGAUCCAUAUUCCCUCU
Vigna umbellata (rice bean) is the source of this 707-nucleotide non-coding RNA. Lineage: Eukaryota; Viridiplantae; Streptophyta; Magnoliopsida; Fabales; Fabaceae. The record is from RefSeq and is a predicted model, not a curated record.